UACGUAGGGAGCAAGCGUUGUCCGGAAUCAUUGGGCGUAAAGAGCGCGUAGGCGGCCCUGUAAGUCAGUGGUGAAAUAUCUCAGCUUAACUGAGAGGGUGCCAUUGAUACUGCAGGGCUUGAGUACAGAUGAGGUAGGCGGAAUUGACGGUGUAGCGGUGAAAUGCAUAGAUAUCGUCAAGAACACCGAUAGCGAAGGCAGCUUACCAAGCUGUAACUGACACUGAGGCACGAAAGUGUGGGGAUCAAACAGG
This 253-nucleotide ribosomal RNA is filed under the name uncultured bacterium. RNAcentral's name for it is "partial 16S ribosomal RNA". It matches the Rfam family "Bacterial small subunit ribosomal RNA", at positions 524 to 776 of the family's 1533-position model. The record is from RNAcentral.